Molecule: ribosomal RNA, 775 nt
Filed under: uncultured Neocallimastigales
Lineage: Eukaryota; Fungi; Neocallimastigomycota; Neocallimastigomycetes; Neocallimastigales
Description: partial large subunit ribosomal RNA
Rfam family: Eukaryotic large subunit ribosomal RNA
Source: RNAcentral
CAUCACUACGCUAGAUGCAUAUCAAUAAGCGGAGGAAAAGAAACUAACAAGGAUUCCCUUAGUAACGGCGAGUGAAGCGGGAAGAGCUCAAAUUUGAAAUCUUCAAGGUUUUACCUUGACGAAUUGUAGUUCAAAGAAGUGUUUUCUGCUGAAGUUUUGGUAAAAGUUCUUUGGAAUAGGACAUCAUAGAGGGUGAGAAUCCCGUAUUUGACCAUUAUUUUCAGCUUUGUGAUACACUUUCAAAGAGUCGGAUUGUUUGGGAAUGCAGUCCAAAAUGGGUGGUAAAUUUCAUCUAAAGCUAAAUAUUGGCGAGAGACCGAUAGCGAACAAGUACCGUGAGGGAAAGAUGAAAAGAACUUUGAAAAGAGAGUUAAACAGUACGUGAAAUUGUCAAAAGGGAAGCGUUUGACACCAGUGUUGUUUAGUUGAAAAUCAAUUCAAUAGUUUUUGAUUCUAAGUAGUAUUGACUUCAUCAGCUUGCUGCUUUCUUCUCAGAAAUUAUUGAAUGCACUUUUCAGUUAACAAGUCAACAUCAAUUUCUUUUGUUGUAAAAGGGUAAGAGGAAGGUGGCUUGCGCUUCGGCUCAAGUGUUUAUAGCCUUUUAUCUCUGCAAUCGGAGAGAUUGAGGUCUGCAGCGUAGAUCCUUCGGGGUUAGAUACAUUGGUGCUAAGCUAUAGCCUUGUAUAGACAACUUGUUGACUAUGCUCAGUCAUGUAGCUUACUCGCUAGAUGCUAUUUUACCUACGCUUAGGAUGUUGACACACGCGCGUGCUCG